AAUGGCAGGUCAGCAUACUGCCGUGAAUACGUUCCCGGGCCCUUGUACACACCGCCCGUCACACCAUGAGAGUUAGGAAUACCCGAAGCCUGUGAGCCAACUUUCUAAGAGGCAGCAGUCGAAGGUAGAACUAAUGAUUGGGGUGAAGUCGUAACAAGGUAGC
This 163-nucleotide ribosomal RNA is filed under the name uncultured bacterium. RNAcentral's name for it is "partial 16S ribosomal RNA". It matches the Rfam family "Bacterial small subunit ribosomal RNA", at positions 1340 to 1500 of the family's 1533-position model. The record is from RNAcentral.